GAUGAACGCUAGCUACAGGCUUAACACAUGCAAGUCGAGGGGUAACGAGAGGAAAGCUUGCUUUCCUUGUCGACGACCGGCGCACGGGUGAGUAACGCGUAUCCAACCUGCCCCCAACUAGGGAAUAACCUUGCGAAAGUAAGACUAAUACCCUAUAAUUUCCUCAGAUGUCAUAUGACGAGGAAUAAAGAUUUAUCGGCUGUGGAGGGGGAUGCGUCUGAUUAGCGUGUUGGCGGGGUAACGGCCCACCAAGGCAACGAUCAGUAGGGGUUCUGAGAGGAAGGUCCACCACAUUGGAACUGAGACACGGUCCAAACUCCUACGGGAGGCAGCAGUGAGGAAUAUUGGUCAAUGGGCGGAAGCCUGAACCAGCCAAGUAGCGUGCAGGAUGACGGCCCUAUGGGUUGUAAACUGCUUUUAUACAGGAAUAAAGUUAGCCACGUGUGGUUAUUUGUAGGUACUGUAUGAAUAAGGACCGGCUAAUUCCGUGCCAGCAGCCGCAGUAA
This 506-nucleotide ribosomal RNA is filed under the name uncultured bacterium. RNAcentral's name for it is "partial 16S ribosomal RNA". It matches the Rfam family "Bacterial small subunit ribosomal RNA", at positions 28 to 523 of the family's 1533-position model. The record is from RNAcentral.